This 237-nucleotide unclassified non-coding RNA is filed under the name plant metagenome. RNAcentral describes it as "partial contains small subunit ribosomal RNA, internal transcribed spacer 1, and 5.8S ribosomal RNA". The record is from RNAcentral.
UUUCCGUAGGUGAACCUGCGGAAGGAUCAUUACUGAGUGAGGGCCCCUCGGGGUCCAACCUCCCACCCGUGUUUAACGAACCUUGUUGCUUCGGCGGGCCCGCCUCACGGCCGCCGGGGGGGCAUCUGCCCCCGGGCCCGCGCCCGCCGAAGCCACCUGUGAGCGCUGUCUGAAGUAUGCAGUCUGAGACAAUUAUUAAAUUAAUUAAAACUUUCAACAACGGAUCUCUUGGUUCCG